RNAcentral lists this ribosomal RNA (497 nucleotides) under uncultured bacterium. Its description in RNAcentral is "partial 16S ribosomal RNA". It matches the Rfam family "Bacterial small subunit ribosomal RNA", at positions 28 to 507 of the family's 1533-position model. The record is from RNAcentral.
GAUGAACGCUGGCGGCGUGCCUAAUACAUGCAAGUCGAGCGAACGGACGAGAAGCUUGCUUCUCUGAUGUUAGCGGCGGACGGGUGAGUAACACGUGGAUAACCUACCUAUAAGACUGGGAUAACUUCGGGAAACCGGAGCUAAUACCGGAUAAUAUUUUGAACCGCAUGGUUCAAAAGUGAAAGACGGUCUUGCUGUCACUUAUAGAUGGAUCCGCGCUGCAUUAGCUAGUUGGUAAGGUAACGGCUUACCAAGGCAACGAUGCAUAGCCGACCUGCGAGGGUGAUCGGCCACACUGGCACUGAGACACGGUCCAGACUCCUACGGGAGGCAGCAGUAGGGAACCUUCCGCAAUGGGCGAAAGCCUGACGGAGCAACGCCGCGUGAGUGAUGAAGGUCUUCGGAUCGUAAAACUCUGUUAUUAGGGAAGAACAUAUGUGUAAGUAACUGUGCACAUCUUGACGGUACCUAAUCAGAAAGCCACGGCUAACUACGUG